RNAcentral lists this ribosomal RNA (454 nucleotides) under Lutjanus lemniscatus (yellowstreaked snapper). Its description in RNAcentral is "partial large subunit ribosomal RNA". It matches the Rfam family "Bacterial large subunit ribosomal RNA", at positions 1972 to 2569 of the family's 2925-position model. The record is from RNAcentral. Lineage: Eukaryota; Metazoa; Chordata; Actinopteri; Lutjaniformes; Lutjanidae.
UCUUUUAAAUGGAGACCUGUAUGAAUGGCAUAACGAGGGCUUAGCUGUCUCCUUUUUCAAGUCAAUGAAAUUGAUCUCCCCGUGCAGAAGCGGGGAUACGAACAUAAGACGAGAAGACCCUAUGGAGCUUUAGACACCAAAGCAGACCAUGUUAAACACCCCAAAAUAAAGGUCCAAACCAAAUGACUCCCUGCUCUAAUGUCUUUGGUUGGGGCGACCGCGGGGAAACACAAAACCCCCACGUGGAACGAGAACACUUCCUCUCACAACCAAGAGCUCCCGCUCUAAUAAACAGAAAUUCUGACCAUCAAUGAUCCGGCAAAGCCGAUCAACGGACCGAGUUACCCUAGGGAUAACAGCGCAAUCCCCUUUUAGAGGCCAUAUCGACAAGGGGGUUUACGACCUCGAUGUUGGAUCAGGACAUCCUAAUGGACCCCUUUCUUUUUCUUCCCCC